UCUGUCAUUGCAGAAUCUCUGCGGGCCCCCUCAGUCUAUCCCAUAUUCUCUUGCUGCGGUCCUGAGGACAACGAUAAUCAGACAGGAAAGGCCCUCGCCUGCCUCGUGACAGGCUACCUUCCAGAGCCAGUGGAUGUCAAGUGGAAUUCUGGCAAAGUGACUCAGGGGAUCACGACUUUCCCAGCUGUUCUGGGCAAAGAUGGAGACUUCACCCUCACCAGCCAGCUCACCAUCCCUGCCAGCAGCCUGGAGAGCGGUGUCUACCAGUGCGAUGUGGAGCAUAGAGCUUCAACUACUUUCCUGUCUAAGGUGUUCCCUCAGCAAACAUGUAGGGGGGUUUUGCCCGCUCCACCCCAGGUUCAUCUCCUGCCCCCAUCCUGCAAUGACAACUCUUGGGAGAAGCAGCUGGGGCUGGUUUGUCUCCUCCUGGACUUCAUCCCUGGCCAAGCCAAUGUGGAAUGGCUCAUGAAUGGGGUGAAGAAGAACCUCCCUGGCAUGGGCUUCUCCUCUGCAAAGGGCACAGGUGGCUUGCACAUGGGGCAGAGUCGAGUGAACAUCACCAGGGAGAGCUGGGAUAAUGGCGAUGUCUACACAUGCAAAGUCACCCAUCCAGCACUGGACAAAAAAGACUUGAUGCUGAAUGUGAGCAAGUGCUCAGCCUGCCUCAGUAAUUCAGUGGAUCCAUCCAUCUAUGUCAUCCUGCCAUCUUAUGAUGAUCUGGUUGAUAAUGAGGGCCGUGUUACCUGCCUGGUUCUGGGCUACAGCAUAGCAGGUGCUCAGGUGUCUUGGGAAGUGGAUGGGAAGGCCAGCUCUCUGUCUGAGAUGGGCGCUGUUGUGACACAAGACAACGGGACCCAGAGUGUCACAAGCACCCACAGAAUAACCUUGACUCAGUGGAAGACCAGGACAAGAUUCACCUGCAAUGUGGUGCUUCCCUGUUCGAGAGAAGUCAGGCAGGAUGCCCCUACAAUGGACAUGACACACCCAGCUCAGGCACCUACUGUCUCAGUCAGUGUUUCCAGUUUGGAUCCAGAUGAAACUCCAGGGAAGGGCGAUUCCUUCAUACUCCUCUGUGAUGUCACGGGAUUCUUCCCGCAAGAGAUCAGCCUGCACUGGGAGCACAAGGGUGUGAAAGUGUUCCCUUCCCAGUACACCAACGGGUCCAUCAUUAGGACUGGCCAGACAUUCUCCACUCACAGCCUCCUGCGGGUGCCCCAACUGGAGGGGGAAAGAGCUACAGUGUCUGACUAUUCCUGUGUGGUGCAGCAUGUGGCUUUGGAUGACACUUUGAAGGUCAAUGCGUUGACAGGAGAGGGUCCCUGCAAGCCCCUGCAAGUGGAGGUUUUUCUCCGCCCCCCUUCCCUGGAGGACCUCUAUCUUGCCAAGAAUGCCACCAUCACCUGCCUGGUCAUCAACAUGGAGACAACUAGCAGUUUGGAGAUCAUGUGGAACCGUACAAGUGGAGGCCGGCUGGAUGUGGUGUUGACAAAACCAGUUUUUCAAAGAAAUGGCAGCUACAGUGUUUCCAGUGCCCUGUGGGUGCAUCUGGAGGAAUGGAAGUCUGGGGAGGAAUUCACCUGCAUGGUGAAACACCAAGAUAUCCCAUCAGCCAUCGUUAAAACAGUGCACAAGAGUCAGGAAGUCUCAACCCGGGCCCCUUCUGUCUACAUUUACUCUCCUCAUGUGGAUGAGCUGGCCCUUCGGGAAUCAGCCACUGUGACCUGCUUGGCCAAAGGCUUCCGCCCCAGUGACAUCCUGGUGACAUGGACCCAGCAGGACCAGCCCAUGCCCCAGAAAGCCUUCAUCAACAUUGGCCCCUUCCAAGAAACCAGGGAGAAGGGAACAACCUACUUUAUCUACAGCAAGCUCAGUGUCCCAGCAUCACAGUGGCAGCGGGGAGACACGUUUGCCUGUGUGGUGGGCCACGAAGGUUUCCCGAUGACCUUUGUCCACAGGAGUGUGGACAAAUCCUCUGGUAAACCUACUGCUGUCAAUGUCUCUGUGAUCUUGUCUGAUACUGAUGUCAGCUGCUACUAAGAAGGCAGAGCCCUGCAAGUCUUGUGUGUCUGCAGUGCCUUGUAGCCUGUAUGUAAAGCAGAAGGAGCUCACGUGGAAGAAGCUUGGCCAUAUAUGUUGUAUGUCUAA
Non-coding RNA from Alligator sinensis (Chinese alligator), 2145 nucleotides. The record is from the annotation of a RefSeq genome assembly. NCBI's taxonomy places the organism in Eukaryota, Metazoa, Chordata, Crocodylia, Alligatoridae.